UACGAAGGGGGCUAGCGUUGCUCGGAAUCACUGGGCGUAAAGCGCACGUAGGCGGCUUCUUAAGUCAGGGGUGAAAUCCUGGAGCUCAACUCCAGAACUGCCUCUGAUACUGAGGAGCUCGAGUCCGGGAGAGGUGAGUGGAACUCCGAGUGUAGAGGUGAAAUUCGUAGAUAUCAGGAAGAACACCAAUGGCGAAAGCAGCUCUCUGGGACGGUACUGACGCUGAGACGCGAAAGCGUGGGGAGCGAACAGG
This 253-nucleotide ribosomal RNA is filed under the name uncultured bacterium. RNAcentral describes it as "partial 16S ribosomal RNA". It matches the Rfam family "Bacterial small subunit ribosomal RNA", at positions 524 to 776 of the family's 1533-position model. The record is from RNAcentral.